AGGAAGUCAGGCUCUAUUUUUUCCCAAGAUUCAGAUAAUUUUUAAACCAAAGUUCGACAAGUUGGGUUCGCUGGCUUAGGUGUAAAAAUGUAACUGAUAAACAGAGUUUGAUUCACA
Non-coding RNA from Bombyx mori (domestic silkworm), 117 nucleotides. The record is from RefSeq and is marked provisional. NCBI's taxonomy places the organism in Eukaryota, Metazoa, Arthropoda, Insecta, Lepidoptera, Bombycidae.